Long non-coding RNA from Saimiri boliviensis boliviensis (Bolivian squirrel monkey), 431 nucleotides. RefSeq lists it as uncharacterized. Lineage: Eukaryota; Metazoa; Chordata; Mammalia; Primates; Cebidae. The record is from RefSeq and is a predicted model, not a curated record.
AGCUAAUGACGUGGUACACCUCGCAAGAAACGGAAGUUCCUGUGACUUCUUCAGCAUCUGAACACACACCACAAGACCAUGGCUACUACCCCAAACCUGCUUUGCCUGGAGCAUCUCAAAGCAGCCGCUGGCCCUUGCAAAGCCUUUCCUGUGUGACAGCUGCGACCAGACACGCUCCCGUGAGCCUGCCUCAGACGUACUCAUUGACUCCUCAGGAUCGUCCCAUGAGAGCUUAGACGCAUGUCCAGACGCCGGCUGUAAAUCCUCCCUGGCUGUAAAGGACAAUGUAAACAGUAUGGGUGCCGUUUAAACAGUCCCCAGCGUGGCACCGGCAGCGCCAUUUGAAAUGCCUCCAUCUUUCUAAAGAGAAACAGAUGUUUGAAGAGCGGAGCUGAGCAGAAGCCAUUCUUCAAACAGAAGAUUAAAGCAUC